UACGUAGGGGGCUAGCGUUGUCCGGAACCAUUGGGCGUAAAGCGCGUGUAGGCGGUUCGGUAAGUCCGCUGUGAAAGUCGGGGGCUCAACCCUCGGAUGCCGGUGGAUACUGUCGGGCUUGAGUACGGAAGAGGCGAGUGGAAUUCCUGGUGUAGCGGUGAAAUGCGCAGAUAUCAGGAGGAACACCAAUUGCGAAGGCAGCUCGCUGGGACGUUACUGACGCUGAGACGCGAAAGCGUGGGGAGCAAACAGG
This 253-nucleotide ribosomal RNA is filed under the name uncultured bacterium. RNAcentral describes it as "partial 16S ribosomal RNA". It matches the Rfam family "Bacterial small subunit ribosomal RNA", at positions 524 to 776 of the family's 1533-position model. The record is from RNAcentral.